GAAAUGCGAUAAGUAGUGUGAAUUGCAGAAUUCAGUGAAUCAUCGAAUCUUUGAACGCACAUUGCGCCCUUUGGUAUUCCAAAGGGCAUGCCUGUUCGAGCGUCAUUUGUACCCUCAAGCUUUGCUUGGUGUUGGGCGUCUUGUCUCCAGUUCGCUGGAGACUCGCCUUAAAGUAAUUGGCAGCCGGCCUACUGGUUUCGGAGCGCAUCACAAGUCGCGCUCUCUUCCAGCCAAGGUCAGCAUCCACAAAGCCUUUUUUCAACUUUUGACCUCGGAUCAGGUAGGGAUACCCGCUGAACUUAAGC
RNAcentral lists this unclassified non-coding RNA (305 nucleotides) under plant metagenome. RNAcentral's name for it is "partial contains 5.8S ribosomal RNA, internal transcribed spacer 2, and large subunit ribosomal RNA". The stretch from base 1 to 105 matches the Rfam family "5.8S ribosomal RNA", at positions 50 to 154 of the family's 154-position model. The record is from RNAcentral.